CAGUAGCCGCGGUAAUACGAAGGGGGCUAGCGUUGCUCGGAAUGACUGGGCGUAAAGGGCGCGUAGGCGGAUUGUUUAGUUAGGCGUGAAAUUCCUGGGCUUAACCUGGGGACUGCGCUUAAUACAGGCAGUCUAGAGUGAGGAAGAGGGUUGUGGAAUUCCCAGUGUAGAGGUGAAAUUCGUAGAUAUUGGGAAGAACACCGGUGGCGAAGGCGGCAACCUGGUCCUUGACUGACGCUGAGGCGCGAAAGCGUGGGGAGCAAACAGGAUUAGAUACCCCGGUAGUCCCUGUCUCUUAUAC
Molecule: ribosomal RNA, 301 nt
Filed under: uncultured bacterium
Lineage: Bacteria
Description: partial 16S ribosomal RNA
Rfam family: Bacterial small subunit ribosomal RNA
Source: RNAcentral